UACGUAGGGGGCAAGCGUUGUCCGGAAUCAUUGGGCGUAAAGAGCGUGUAGGCGGUCCGGUAAGUCGGCUGUGAAAGUCCAGGGCUCAACCCUGGGAUGCCGGUCGAUACUGCCGGACUAGAGUUCGGAAGAGGCGAGUGGAAUUCCCGGUGUAGCGGUGACAUGCGCAGAUAUCGGGAGGAACACCUAUGGCGAAGGCAGCUCGCUGGGACGUUACUGACGCUGAGACGCGAAAGCGUGGGGAGCAAACAGG
Molecule: ribosomal RNA, 253 nt
Filed under: uncultured bacterium
Lineage: Bacteria
Description: partial 16S ribosomal RNA
Rfam family: Bacterial small subunit ribosomal RNA
Source: RNAcentral